RNAcentral lists this ribosomal RNA (460 nucleotides) under uncultured bacterium. Its description in RNAcentral is "partial 16S ribosomal RNA". It matches the Rfam family "Bacterial small subunit ribosomal RNA", at positions 338 to 795 of the family's 1533-position model. The record is from RNAcentral.
CCUACGGGAGGCAGCAGUGAGGAAUAUUGGUCAAUGGACGAGAGUCUGAACCAGCCAAGUAGCGUGAAGGAUGACUGCCCUAUGGGUUGUAAACUUCUUUUAUAAAGGAAUAAAACGAGGCACGUGUGCCUUUUUGCAUGUACUUUAUGAAUAAGGAUCGGCUAACUCCGUGCCAGCAGCCGCGGUAAUACGGAGGAUCCGAGCGUUAUCCGGAUUUAUUGGGUUUAAAGGGAGCGUAGAUGGGUUGUUAAGUCAGUUGUGAAAGGUUGCGGCUCAACCGUAAAAUUGCAUUUGAUACUGGCAGUCUUGAGUACAGUGGAGGUAGGCGGAAUUCGUGGUGUAGCGGUGAAAUGCUUAGAUAUCACGAAGAACCCCGAUUGCGAAGGCAGCUUACUAAACUGUGACUGACAUUGAUGCUCGAAAGUGUGGGUAUCAAACAGGAUUAGAUACCCCGGUAGUC